AUGAUAGUGGACAUCGGUUACUGGUUCAAGGGUAGCACAAAUCGGAAAGGAUACCUGAGAGGAAGAAAGUUGAACAUUGGGUUCACAACCAGGGCUAAACUCAACAGGCUACUUGACGAGGGUGACAUCACACCACAGCAGGUGGAUUCAUUCCAUGAAGCUGUGGUAUGUUUCCUGACAAGUGCUGUGGCCUAUGCACUAAAGAAGCUGCCACUGAAAGAGCCACUGCUCAAACAUUCAAAAUUUGUAGACGUACGGCAGAGGGCUGAAAGUGACAUCGGAGCUGUCCUGUACUUUGUUGAAAGGUUUCCCCAUCUCCUCCCAUACCAUGGUCCAGAGGAGCAUGACCUUCUGGGUGAGGAGUUUCUAAGUUAUCAGACCAUGCCAAUGAUAUCCCUGCAGGAUGAAACUGAAAUGGAAAGCUUCUGGGCUGAAAUGGCAACCCGGAAACAUAAGCCUAGCACUGGAUGGCACCCUGUCCUCAAUAAUGACCAUAAAGAUGGCCGACCUGGAGCCCUGUUUCAAAUGGGAGCCCCCCUCAGAUGUCCUCAAGGCCUCCAAGAAGGCCACAGGCCAGUAUAA
This 582-nucleotide long non-coding RNA is filed under the name Gadus morhua (Atlantic cod). Its description in RNAcentral is "lncRNA (ENSGMOG00000036129.1)". Lineage: Eukaryota; Metazoa; Chordata; Actinopteri; Gadiformes; Gadidae. The record is from RNAcentral.